Molecule: ribosomal RNA, 965 nt
Filed under: uncultured bacterium
Lineage: Bacteria
Description: bacterial SSU rRNA
Rfam family: Bacterial small subunit ribosomal RNA
Source: RNAcentral
AUACGUAGGGUGCAAGCGUUAUCCGGAAUUAUUGGGCGUAAAGGGCUCGUAGGCGGUUCGUCGCGUCCGGUGUGAAAGUCCAUCGCUUAACGGUGGAUCCGCGCCGGGUACGGGCGGGCUUGAGUGCGGUAGGGGAGACUGGAAUUCCCGGUGUAACGGUGGAAUGUGUAGAUAUCGGGAAGAACACCAAUGGCGAAGGCAGGUCUCUGGGCCGUUACUGACGCUGAGGAGCGAAAGCGUGGGGAGCGAACAGGAUUAGAUACCCUGGUAGUCCACGCCGUAAACGGUGGAUGCUGGAUGUGGGGCCCGUUCCACGGGUUCCGUGUCGGAGCUAACGCGUUAAGCAUCCCGCCUGGGGAGUACGGCCGCAAGGCUAAAACUCAAAGAAAUUGACGGGGGCCCGCACAAGCGGCGGAGCAUGCGGAUUAAUUCGAUGCAACGCGAAGAACCUUACCUGGGCUUGACAUGUUCCCGACGAUCCCAGAGAUGGGGUUUCCCUUCGGGGCGGGUUCACAGGUGGUGCAUGGUCGUCGUCAGCUCGUGUCGUGAGAUGUUGGGUUAAGUCCCGCAACGAGCGCAACCCUCGCCCCGUGUUGCCAGCGGAUUGUGCCGGGAACUCACGAGGGACCGCCGGGGUUAACUCGGAGGAAGGUGGGGAUGACGUCAGAUCAUCAUGCCCCUUACGUCCAGGGCUUCACGCAUGCUACAAUGGCCGGUACAACGGGAUGCGACGCGGCGACGCGGAGCGGAUCCCUGAAAACCGGUCUCAGUUCGGAUCGCAGUCUGCAACUCGACUGCGUGAAGGCGGAGUCGCUAGUAAUCGCGAAUCAGCAACGUCGCGGUGAAUGCGUUCCCGGGCCUUGUACACACCGCCCGUCAAGUCAUGAAAGUGGGCAGCACCCGAAGCCGGUGGCCUAACCCCUUGUGGGAUGGAGCCGUCUAAGGUGAGGCUCGUGAUUGGGACU